AUUGAACGCUGGCGGCAGGCCUAACACAUGCAAGUCGAGCGAGCGGCGGACGGGUGAGUAAUGUAUGGGGACUGCCCGAUAGAGUGGGAUAACUACUGGCACCGGUAGCUAAUACCGCAUACUAUCGGAUAACCCAUAUGGGAUUAGCUAGUCGGUGAGGUGAUGGCUCACGUAUGCGACGCGCCCGAGCUGGUCUGAGAGGAUGAUCAGCAACACUGGGACUGAGACACGGCCCAGACUCCUACGGAGGCAGCAGUGGGGAAUAGUGCACAAUGGGCGCAAGCCUGAUGCAGCAAGGCCGCGGGUAUGAAGAAGGCUCUAGGUUUGUAAAGUACUUUCAGGCGGGAGGCGUUACCGACAGAAGAAGCACCGGCUAACUCCGUGCCAGCAGCCGCGGUAAUAC
This 403-nucleotide ribosomal RNA is filed under the name uncultured bacterium. Its description in RNAcentral is "partial 16S ribosomal RNA". It matches the Rfam family "Bacterial small subunit ribosomal RNA", at positions 30 to 526 of the family's 1533-position model. The record is from RNAcentral.